GUCCACGCCGUAAACGAUGUCGACUGGGGGUGCGGCUGCCGUUAAGGCGGCUGCGCGCCGAAGCAUACGCGCAAGUCGACCGCCUGGGAACUACGAGCGCAAGCUUAAAACUCAAAGGAAUUGACGGGGGCCCGCACAAGCAGCGGAGCGUGUGGUUUAAUUCGAAGCAACACGCAGAACCUCACCCAGACUUGACAUGGACCUGCAAAUCGGUGAAAGCCGGCACCUUCGAGGGUGGUCCACAGAUGCUGCAUGGCUGUCGU
Molecule: ribosomal RNA, 263 nt
Filed under: uncultured bacterium
Lineage: Bacteria
Description: partial 16S ribosomal RNA
Rfam family: Bacterial small subunit ribosomal RNA
Source: RNAcentral